Molecule: long non-coding RNA, 1047 nt
Organism: Pseudophryne corroboree (corroboree frog)
Lineage: Eukaryota; Metazoa; Chordata; Amphibia; Anura; Myobatrachidae
Exons: 3
Source: RefSeq, a predicted model, not a curated record
CGAUCGCUCAGUGCACAGACGGAGGAGAGACUGAUCCAGGAACCACGGAACGCCGCCUGUCAGUGAGCGCUGGCUGCAGAAAAAAAACGAACCCCCAAUGGCAGAAGAAAUUCCUGUUUUCUGAAGAAAAAAAGACGUGAUAGUGCUCAUCAUUGGAAAUCUGUGAAGAGAAAUGUCCAGAUGGAAGGGUUAGAGGCGUGGUACUGCCAUUCAUGUCAUCAUGACCCCUCCACAAUAUAAUACUUUGAUUCGCUGGUUACAUUGCAGGGGUGGAGCCACGAUGAUGUGAUUUAUAGCAAAUAACAUUAGUCCCCAGCUCCACCUUACGUCACAGGAAAUUUGGGGACAGGCUGGAGAAGUGUCACUGUCUACCCCAAAUUCAAAAGUAUCCAUGAAUUCCGUGAGACUAGGUAUAAUCAAUCACUGGACCUGAUCAUAGCAUAGUUUCAUCUAAACUAUUUAAAUCAUCUUGGGAUGCUCAUACUCUAACUGCUGAUGAAGCUGGAAGGUGGAACUGAUGUUGGGCAUAAAGUGUUACGGGUUUCUUCUGUCUGCAGAAUGCUUUGGACCUAUUUAACUUUGCUCCUUAGGUCAUGAUAAUAAAAAAACUGUUUCAUUACAAAAAAAAUUGGAGUGCGCUGUGCCCUAUAUGCUUAUCUCCUAAUGAUUGGGCGAGCUUUACACAUGGAAACCGGACACUCUAUGGCCCAUAUGUAAUCAUCUGAUGGUGACUUUUAUCUCAAGGUGUAUGAACAGCAUACUGUAGUUGUAGUUGUUGAUCAGUCCUCACCAUCUACUGACUCCAUUGACUGGAUAUUUUAUAGCAGAAUUUUGUGUCUCUGCCUAUUCAUUUAUAUCCGGUUUUCUUUGUUGGAAUAAGUCAUUUGGCUUCGGAGAACACAGACUUUACUUAAAUAUUCUUUUAGGAAUGACCUACUGUGAAAUUAUACAGACGUACAAGACAUGCAAUUAUGAAAGAAUACAUAUAUGGUAUUUCCUCAUCACUUGGUUGUGACACAUUUUACAUCAAAAAUAAAUUGGUGCAAU